UCUGCGAUGGCUCACUCGGUAGAGCGAUAGGCUCGUAACUCGGUGUCCCGGGUUCGAUUCCCGGUCUCUGCC
Molecule: transfer RNA, 72 nt
Organism: Trichomalopsis sarcophagae
Lineage: Eukaryota; Metazoa; Arthropoda; Insecta; Hymenoptera; Pteromalidae
Rfam family: tRNA
About the family: Transfer RNA (tRNA) molecules are approximately 80 nucleotides in length. Their secondary structure includes four short double-helical elements and three loops (D, anti-codon, and T loops). Further hydrogen bonds mediate the characteristic L-shaped molecular structure. tRNAs have two regions of fundamental functional importance: the anti-codon, which is responsible for specific mRNA codon recognition, and the 3' end, to which the tRNAs corresponding amino acid is attached (by aminoacyl-tRNA synthetases). tRNAs cope with the degeneracy of the genetic code in two manners: having more than one tRNA (with a specific anti-codon) for a particular amino acid; and 'wobble' base-pairing, i.e. permitting non-standard base-pairing at the 3rd anti-codon position.
Source: Rfam